CCUACGGUGGACAGCAGUCGAGAAUCAUUCACAAUGGGGGAAACCCUGAUGGUGCGACGCCGCGUGGGGGAAUGAAGGUCUUCGGAUUGUAAACCCCUGUCAUGUGGGAGCAAAUUAAAAAGAUAGUACCACAAGAGGAAGAGACGGCUAACUCUGUGCCAGCAGCCGCGGUAAUACAGAGGUCUCAAGCGUUGUUCGGAAUCACUGGGCGUAAAGCGUGCGUAGGCUGUUUCGUAAGUCGUGUGUGAAAUGCGCGGGCUCAACCCGCGGACGGCACAUGAUACUGCGAGACUAGAGUAAUGGAGGGGGAACCGGAAUUCUCGGUGUAGCAGUGAAAUGCGUAGAUAUCGAGAGGAACACUCGUGGCGAAGGCGGGUUCCUGGACAUUAACUGACGCUGAGGCACGAAGGCCAGGGGAGCGAAAGGGAUUAGAUACCCCGGUAGUC
This 446-nucleotide ribosomal RNA is filed under the name uncultured bacterium. RNAcentral describes it as "partial 16S ribosomal RNA". It matches the Rfam family "Bacterial small subunit ribosomal RNA", at positions 338 to 795 of the family's 1533-position model. The record is from RNAcentral.